This 1082-nucleotide long non-coding RNA is filed under the name Phasianus colchicus (ring-necked pheasant). RNAcentral's name for it is "lncRNA (ENSPCLG00000008637.1)". Lineage: Eukaryota; Metazoa; Chordata; Aves; Galliformes; Phasianidae. The record is from RNAcentral.
AUGAUUUAUAAACCCAAAAUACUUUCUGCCGUGCUUAAAGAUGUUUUUGCCAAAAGCGCUGUUCUUGUCAUUUCCCAUAAAAAGCACGAAGGUGGUGGUGUCGGGAGAUGGGAUGGGGACGUUUGCGGAUCACCCGCGAGGUGCCAUGUGCUGCCAUCCAUGGGUGGUGACGUUUGGCUCAGGUUUCGCAUCGCUGCACAAUUUGAUGUCAUCGUCAGAUCUGCCCUGUGCUGGGAAAUGGGAUCGUCAGCGCCGGUUCACACAAGAACAGUCUUCCUCCACUGUCUGAAAUCUCAGUAACCUGUAGCUGUGCCCCAGGAACCACAAUGCAGCCUCCUUGGGAGCUGCUGGAUUGCCCCACUUGGUUGUCCUUUUGGUACCUCCCCCUACUGAAGGAGCCUAUGGACCUCAUGUCCAAAGCUUGUCAGGUAGAAAUGUGACCAAACCCACUGUUUUAUGGAUAUGUGAUAAGGGUGGGCAUAGAGGGUACAAACUCAAUAAUGCACCAAAGAUUACCCAGCGAUACCUGAGGUACAGCUUCACACUGAACCUGCAAAUCCUAAACAUUAAUCACAAGCUAUUCUUGUUCCUCCUUGUCGUGACAGUGUUGUGAGAAGGCUGAUUUUGUAUUAAAAUUGAGUUAGAUCAAUGCAGAUACAAUGAAAGUGGAUGCUACACUUUGCUCUAACAGAAUCCAAGCUUUUCUUUGCAGCAGGAACAUGGGCUAAUCCUCUUACUGGUUGGAAUUGGAGGUCCUGUACGAGUUGCACUGAAUGUUCAAUUCAAAUGAAAGGAUUUUCUUGGUGAGUAAGUGAACACAUACUGAAUGUGCAAACAGUCAAAUGUUCUCCGGGUGGUUUUGAUAAAUGGUUUGCUUACUGUGGUGUUUAAAUCAAGCUAAUUUCAUCUUAUGUCUCCGUAGUUCUGUUGGUCAGGAAGAGUCUUUAGGAGUACAUUGAAGUACUUUUGAGCAAUGGUGAACACCUUUUAAAAAAGUAGGAAUUAGGGGAUUAUAUCAAGCACUGGUAUGAUCAGUACUGCUAUGUAAGUGAUAAUGAAAAUAAAUUUCAACACAACCUUCA